UACGUAGGGCGCAAGCGUUAUCCGGAAUUAUUGGGCGUAAAGAGCUCGUAGGCGGUUUGUCGCGUCGGGAGUGAAAACCAGGUGCUUAACACCUGGCUUGCUUUCGAUACGGGCAGACUAGAGGUAUGCAGGGGAGAACGGAAUUCCUGGUGUAGCGGUGAAAUGCGCAGAUAUCAGGAGGAACACCGGUGGCGAAGGCGGUUCUCUGGGCAUGACCUGACGCUGAGGAGCGAAAGUGUGGGGAGCGAACAGG
RNAcentral lists this ribosomal RNA (253 nucleotides) under uncultured bacterium. RNAcentral describes it as "partial 16S ribosomal RNA". It matches the Rfam family "Bacterial small subunit ribosomal RNA", at positions 524 to 776 of the family's 1533-position model. The record is from RNAcentral.